GUGGGGAAUAUUGGACAAUGGGCGCAAGCCUGAUCCAGCCAUGCCACGUGAGUGAUGAAGGCCUUAGGGUUGUAAAGCUCUUUCGUCAGGGAAGAUAAUGACGGUACCUGAAGAAGAAGCCCCGGCUAACUUCGUGCCAGCAGCCGCGGUAAUACGAAGGGGGCUAGCGUUGCUCGGAAUCACUGGGCGUAAAGCGCACGUAGGCGGCUUUCUAAGUCAGGGGUGAAAUCCUGGAGCUCAACUCCAGAACUGCCUUUGAUACUGGAGAGCUUGAGUUCGGGAGAGGUGAGUGGAACUGCGAGUGUAGAGGUGAAAUUCGUAGAUAUUCGCAAGAACACCAGUGGCGAAGGCGGCUCACUGGCCCGAUACUGACGCUGAGGUGCGAAAGCGUGGGGAGCAAACAGGAUUAGAUACCCCGGUAGUCC
This 425-nucleotide ribosomal RNA is filed under the name uncultured bacterium. RNAcentral's name for it is "partial 16S ribosomal RNA". It matches the Rfam family "Bacterial small subunit ribosomal RNA", at positions 354 to 796 of the family's 1533-position model. The record is from RNAcentral.